AUAUUUGACAAUGGGCGAAAGCCUGAUCCAGCCAAGCCGCGUGUGUGAAGAAGGUCUUCGGAUUGUAAAGCACUUUAUGUUGGGAGGAAGGGCAGGAAGUUAUUACCUUGCUGGUUUGACGGUACCGACAGAAUAAGCACCGGCCAACUUACGGCCAGCAGCGGCGGUAAUACGAAGGGUGCAAGCGUUAAUAGGAAUUAAUGGGCGGAAAGCGCGCGUAGGUGGUUUGUUAAGUUGGAAGUGAAAGCCGCGGGCGCAACCUGGGAACUGCUUUCAAGGCUGGCAGGCUAGAGUAUGGCAGAGGGUGGUGGAAUUUCCUGUGUAGCGGUGAAAUGCGUAGAUAUAGGAAGGAACACCAGUGGCGAAGGCGACCACCUGGGCUAAUACUGACACUGAGGUGCGAAAGCGUGGGGAGCAAAC
Molecule: ribosomal RNA, 420 nt
Filed under: uncultured bacterium
Lineage: Bacteria
Description: partial 16S ribosomal RNA
Rfam family: Bacterial small subunit ribosomal RNA
Source: RNAcentral